UAUUACUCACCAUCUUAAUAUCUUAAAAUUUUACUUGUCGACUGAAAUAUUCAUGAUUUUUUUUUUUAUCAUGCAACUAUACAUAUUCAUGAUGACGUCGAAAGAUUUACUUUAGCAAACCACCUUGCAAGUUUCAGAAGUAGUAGAAUCGAAUCUGAUAUCAAGGACAACAAACAAAUAAAAAUAAAGUAGAAUUCGAAGAGGCAAAUCUAUGGGAUAAUGUGAAUAGAUUCGCGGGAUGUAUAAAAACCAUGUGAAAGAUGAAAGAGCAAUGAAUCGACUUGAAUAACUUCUUAAGCUAGCCUUGCAUUCAUUGGAUUCUUAUUGGCUGCC
This 333-nucleotide long non-coding RNA is filed under the name Capsella rubella. RNAcentral's name for it is "long non-coding RNA (CRUB_LNC001237)". The record is from RNAcentral. Lineage: Eukaryota; Viridiplantae; Streptophyta; Magnoliopsida; Brassicales; Brassicaceae.